RNAcentral lists this ribosomal RNA (341 nucleotides) under Herpailurus yagouaroundi (jaguarundi). RNAcentral describes it as "Puma yagouaroundi (jaguarundi) partial 12S ribosomal RNA". It matches the Rfam family "Bacterial small subunit ribosomal RNA", at positions 605 to 989 of the family's 1533-position model. The record is from RNAcentral. Lineage: Eukaryota; Metazoa; Chordata; Mammalia; Carnivora; Felidae.
AACCCAAACUAAUAGACCCACGGCGUAAAGCGUGUUAUAGAGAAAAAAUAUACUAAAGUUAAACCUUAGCUAAGCCGUAAAAAGCUACAGCUAACAUGAAAAUACAGCACGAAAGUAACUUUAAUAUCUCCAACCACACGAUAGCUAAGACCCAAACUGGGAUUAGAUACCCCACUAUGCUUAGCCCUAAACCUAGAUAGUUAACUCAAACAAAACUAUCCGCCAGAGAACUACUAGCAACAGCUUAAAACUCAAAGGACUUGGCGGUGCUUUACAUCCCUCUAGAGGAGCCUGUUCUAUAAUCGAUAAACCCCGAUAUACCUCACCAUCUCUUGCUAAUU